This 460-nucleotide ribosomal RNA is filed under the name uncultured bacterium. RNAcentral's name for it is "partial 16S ribosomal RNA". It matches the Rfam family "Bacterial small subunit ribosomal RNA", at positions 338 to 795 of the family's 1533-position model. The record is from RNAcentral.
CCUACGGGAGGCAGCAGUGAGGAAUAUUGGUCAAUGGACGAGAGUCUGAACCAGCCAAGUAGCGUGAAGGAUGACUGCCCUAUGGGUUGUAAACUUCUUUUAUAUGGGAAUAAAACGUUCCACGUGUGGGAUUUUGUAUGUACCAUAUGAAUAAGGAUCGGCUAACUUCGUACCAGCCGCCGCGGUAAUACGGAGGAACCGAGCGUUAUCCGGAUUUAUUGGGUUUAAAGGGAGCGGUGGUGGAUUGUUAAGUCAGUUGUGAAAGUUUGCGGCUCAACCGUAAAAUUGCAGUUGAAACUGGCAGUCUUGAGUACAGUAGAGGUGGGCGGAAUGCGUGGUGUAGCGGUGAAAUGCUUAGAUAUCACGAAGAACUCCGAUUGCGAAGGCAGUUCACUGGACUGCAACUGACACUGAGGCUCGAAAGUGUGGGUAUCAAACAGGAUUAGAUACCCCAGUAGUC